AGGCAGCAGUAGGGAAUCUUCCACAAUGGACGAAAGUCUGAUGGAGCAACGCCGCGUGAGCGAUGAAGGCCUUCGGGUCGUAAAGCUCUGUUGUUAGGGAAGAACAAGUACCGGAGUAACUGCCGGUACCUUGACGGUACCUAACCAGAAAGCCACGGCUAACUACGUGCCAGCAGCCGCGGUAAUACGUAGGUGGCAAGCGUUGUCCGGAAUUAUUGGGCGUAAAGCGCGCGCAGGCGGUCCUUUAAGUCUGAUGUGAAAGCCCACGGCUCAACCGUGGAGGGUCAUUGGAAACUGGGGGACUUGAGUGCAGAAGAGGAAAGCGGAAUUCCACGUGUAGCGGUGAAAUGCGUAGAGAUGUGGAGGAACACCAGUGGCGAAGGCGGCUUUCUGGUCUGUAACUGACGCUGAGGCGCGAAAGCGUGGGGAGCAAACAGGAUUAGAUACCCUGGUAGUCCACGCCGUAAACGAUGAGUGCUAAGUGUUAGGGGGUUUCCGCCCCUUAGUGCUGCAGCUAACGCAUUAAGCACUCCGCCUGGGGAGUACGGCCGCAAGGCUGAAACUUAAAGGAAUUGACGG
Molecule: ribosomal RNA, 579 nt
Filed under: uncultured bacterium
Lineage: Bacteria
Description: bacterial SSU rRNA
Rfam family: Bacterial small subunit ribosomal RNA
Source: RNAcentral